RNAcentral lists this ribosomal RNA (117 nucleotides) under Paramormyrops kingsleyae. Lineage: Eukaryota; Metazoa; Chordata; Actinopteri; Osteoglossiformes; Mormyridae. The record is from RNAcentral.
ACCAGCAGCCACACCACCUGUAGUUCAGACAUGCAGAUCCACCUGAAGCUACGCAGGUUUGGGCCUGGCCAGCACUUCCAUGGGACACCAACUAGGAAAGUUAGGUGGCUGCUGGAA